This 1251-nucleotide ribosomal RNA is filed under the name Oscillatoria sp. SH-11. RNAcentral's name for it is "bacterial SSU rRNA". It matches the Rfam family "Bacterial small subunit ribosomal RNA", at positions 264 to 1533 of the family's 1533-position model. Lineage: Bacteria; Bacillati; Cyanobacteriota; Cyanophyceae; Oscillatoriales; Oscillatoriaceae. The record is from RNAcentral.
CGCACCAAGACGACGAUCAGUAGCUGGUCUGAGAGGAUGAUCAGCCACACUGGGACUGAGACACGGCCCAGACUCCUACGGGAGGCCGCAGUGGGGAAUUUUCCGCAAUGGGCGAAAGCCUGACGGAGCAAUACCGCGUGAGGGAGGAAGGCUCUUGGGUUGUAACCCUCUCUUCUCAGGGAAUAUCACCUUGAAGGUACCUGAGGAAUAAGCAUCGGCUAACCCCGUGCCAGCAGCAGCGCUAAUACGGAGGAUGCAAGCGUUAUCCGGAAUGAUUGGGCUUAACGCGUCCGCAGGUGGCACUGUAAGUCUGCUGUAAAAGAGCAAGGCUCAACCUUGUAAAGGCAGUGGAAACUAUAGAGCUAGAGUACGUUCGGGGCAGAGGGAAUUCCUGGUGUAGCGGUGAAAUGCGUAGAGAUCAGGAAGAACACCGGUGGCGAAAGUGCUCUGCAAAGCCGUAACUGACACAAAGGGACGAAAGCUAUGGCCGCGAAAGGGAUUAAAUAACCCAGUAGCCCUAGCCGUAAACGAUGGAUACUAGGCGUGGCUUGUAUCGACCCGAGCCGUGCCGGAGCCAACGCGUUAAGUAUCCCGCCUGGGGAGUACGCACGCAAGUGUGAAACUCAAAGGAAUUGACGGGGGUUUGCACAAGCGGUGGAGUAUGUGGUUUAAUUCGAUGCAACGCGAAGAACCUUACCAAGACUUGACAUGUCGCGAAUCUUCUUGAAAGGGAAGAGUGCCUUAGGGAGCGCUACCACAGGUGGUGCAUGGCUGUCGUCAGCUCGUGUCGUGAGAUAUUGGGUUAAGUCCCGCAACGAGCGCAAUCCUCGUUUUUAGUUGCCAGCAUUAAGUUGGGCACUCUAGAGAGACUGCCGGUGACAAACCGGAGGAAUGUUGGGAUGACGUCAAGUCAGCAUGCCCCUUACGUCUUGGGCUACACACGUACUACAAUGCUACGGACAGAGGGCAGCAAGCUAGCGAUAGCAAGCAAAUCCCGUAAACCGUAGCUCAGUUCAGAUCGCAGGCUGCAACUCGCCUGCGUGAAGGAGGACCCGCUAGUAAUUGCAGGUCAGCAUACUGCAUUGAAUUCGUUCCCGGGCCUUGUACACACCGCCCGUCACACCAUUGAAGCUGGCAACGCCCGAAUUCAUUACUCCAACUUUUAGGAGAGGAGGAUGCCUAAGGCAGUGCUGGUGACUGGGAUGAAGUCGUAACAAGGUAGCCGUACCGGAAGGUGCGGCUCCCUCACCU